GGCUGAUUUAGUGAUUAAAACUUUGUGUGCUUUUGAAAUUCUUGGCAUUUAUGUAUUUGAAAUUAGAUUUUAUAAAUAAUAACUCUUUGAGUAGAGACAAACAGUUUGUGGGUAUCUGAGCCGGAAACCCUCACGAGACAAAACUCGUCCACUAGGGCCACCUAGGGGUUUAAAGCCUUAUUGCAUACGGUAAAUGCAAUCGCGAUUCCUACGAAAGUGAGUUAGUUUUUUUAUUUUACUCGAGGACUAGCAAAAUAUAGGUUGGGGGGUGUGAUAAGUGCUAAAUAAUACAUAAAUUAAUAUCUUAUUCAUAGCACUUAUCAUUAUUUUAAUUCAUAUAUUUAGUGAAUUUAACAUAAGAAAAUGUGUUCCCCUUCAUCAUGGCAUUAUUAAAAAUAAUUCGAGUUUGCUUGAUUUUAUUGGUCAAGUCUAAUAUGUGCAGAUCGAGUCGAACUAAUUGGGAUGAUGUUUGAAUUA
This 477-nucleotide long non-coding RNA is filed under the name Phoenix dactylifera (date palm). Its description in RNAcentral is "long non-coding RNA (PDAC_LNC011738)". Lineage: Eukaryota; Viridiplantae; Streptophyta; Magnoliopsida; Arecales; Arecaceae. The record is from RNAcentral.